This 399-nucleotide ribosomal RNA is filed under the name uncultured bacterium. RNAcentral's name for it is "bacterial SSU rRNA". It matches the Rfam family "Bacterial small subunit ribosomal RNA", at positions 355 to 771 of the family's 1533-position model. The record is from RNAcentral.
UGGGGAAUAUUGGACAAUGGGCGAAAGCCUGAUCCAGCAAUGCCGCGUGAGUGAUGAAGGCCUUAGGGUUGUAAAGCUCUUUUACCCGGGAUGAUAAUGACAGUACCGGGAGAAUAAGCUCCGGCUAACUCCGUGCCAGCAGCCGCGGUAAUACGGAGGGAGCUAGCGUUGUUCGGAAUUACUGGGCGUAAAGCGCGCGUAGGCGGCUAUUCAAGUCAGAGGUGAAAGCCCGGGGCUCAACCCCGGAAUUGCCUUUGAAACUAGAUAGCUAGAAUCUGGGAGAGGUGAGUGGAAUUCCGAGUGUAGAGGUGAAAUUCGUAGAUAUUCGGAAGAACACCAGUGGCGAAGGCGGCUCACUGGACCAGAAUUGACGCUGAGGUGCGAAAGCGUGGGGAGCAA